CGUGAGCCUCCUUUGCUUACUCCUAACCGUCACCAAUUUUUCAUUCCUUAGCCAAAUUCAAUUAUUAGAAGCUUGUUGGAACCAUGAGGGUUCAUAGAUCAUCAUCCCUAAGUUAGGGCAAGCAAGAGAGCAAAGCAAGAGGGUGCUAGGACUUGAGAAAGGGAGGAACUCAUGAGAGCUAGAACAUGAGGAGCUUGAGGAUUCACCAAAUUUCUAAGAUUGACAGGUUAUAUGUUAGCUUGUCCGAGUAGCGUGGUGAAGCUCCGCUCUGAUUGUGACACGGGGAGAAAAGGGGUUUUGUACAUAUAUAUAUAUAUAUAUAAAUUCCUUUAGAAAAUCACUCUGUAAUUGCUUAUGUUUUCAUAUAAGAAUUAUUCUUGGUGAAAAGUAUUGGUUUUGUAUCACUUAUAACGCAUCGUGUUGAUGCGGAGGAUUUUGUAUUUUGUGUUAUUCAAACCAGCGCUUUAUAAUCAGAUUUUCAAUUUUUCCGCUGCGUAUUUUCGAAAAAGAUUUUAUAAAGGUAGAGUUAAUUAAAUAACGAGUUUGGGUGUUACAUUUAUGACAACAAUGUGUAAUAGAACGAUUGGAUACUGAUGACAGUCACUUAUUUGUUAAUUUAAUUGGAAUUUUUUUAGUAGUUUUAUAAGUUUUUAGGAAAAAUGCAUGGUCAAAGAGAAGAAUAUUGGAAGAAAUUAACAUAGCAGAAAGUUUGAAGACAAAAGACCACAAAAAGAAUAGACUUAGAAAAAUAUUGCCAAUUUUGAAGGCUUCUCACACCAGGAGCUACUGUAUUUCUCGCGGCACGAUCCAAUUCAAAUCGCAGCGCAAUUUACUACAGCAGGACAGAUAUGACACGUGCUGAUGCAAUCAGUUUUUUUAUUUUAUCCCUUGAAUGAUGAUGUGGCGACAUGGUACAGGGCUAUUCCUUUUAUUGGUGUCACGUGAUUGCUCCUUCUAAGCAUAUAAAUAAUAAGCUAUUUUAACCUAAGGAACACACG
Molecule: long non-coding RNA, 998 nt
Organism: Trifolium pratense (red clover)
Lineage: Eukaryota; Viridiplantae; Streptophyta; Magnoliopsida; Fabales; Fabaceae
Exons: 2
Source: RefSeq, a predicted model, not a curated record